CCUGGCUCAGGAUGAACGCUAGCGGGAGGCUUAAUACAUGCAAGUCGAGCGGCAAGUUUUGAUAGCAAUAUUGGAACCUAGAGCGGCGCACGGGUGAGUAACGCGUACAUGACCUGCCCUAUACUGGGGGAUAGUCUUGGGAAACUGAGAAUAAUCCCGCAUGUGAUUAGAAUGCUGCAUGGCAAAUUAAUUAAAGCUGAGGCGGUAUAGGAUGGGUGUGCGUCUGAUUAGCUAGUUGGUAGUGUAACGGACUACCAAGGCGAUGAUCAGUAGGGGGCGUGAGAGCGUGACCCCCCACACGGGUACUGAGACACGGACCCGACUCCUACGGGAGGCAGCAGUAAGGAAUAUUGGUCAAUGGAGGGAACUCUGAACCAGCCAUCCCGCGUGAAGGAUGAAGGGGCUCUGCCUUGUAAACUUCUUUUGCAUGGGACGAAAAAACUUAAUUUAUUAAGGACUGACGGUACCAUGAGAAUAAGCACCGGCUAACUCCGUG
RNAcentral lists this ribosomal RNA (496 nucleotides) under uncultured bacterium. Its description in RNAcentral is "bacterial SSU rRNA". It matches the Rfam family "Bacterial small subunit ribosomal RNA", at positions 18 to 507 of the family's 1533-position model. The record is from RNAcentral.